CCCUCUGACCUUCUGCCCUCUCGUGCUCUCUCUCACUGUCUCUCUCUCAAAUAAAUAAACUCUUUAAAAAAAAGCAAGCGGAGUGACUUUGAAAGGCACCACACGCCCACAAAUGGCAGUAAAUAUUUUUCAUUCACACAAACUCAUUUCUAAAUCUGUCAGGGUCCCUAGAGGAAACCAAAUUCCACGGGAAGAUAGCUGAAGCCCAGAGGCUUUGAAAAGUGCCAUUGUUGCUUCCCUGAGGAGCUUGGGGUCCUUUUUCUGGGGAGGUUUUAGGAAAUGGAAGAAGUCUUUUGAAAUGGGUAGGGCCUUGCCUUUCAACAACAGACCUGAAGUAGUCAUUAAAUAUGUAUGUGCAAAGCCUCUUUCCUCAAUGAGCCUAUUGUCUAGGAGGGGAAUAAUAAUGAUAAAAUAAUAGUAGUUAUCAGCUUUCCCACCUCCUAGCUACAUGAUCCUGGGCAAGUGGUUGAACCGCUCUGGUGCCUCACUUCCCUUAUCUGUAAAACGGGGGUGAUACAGUACCUGUGUCCCAGUGCUGUUGUGAGGACGGCAUGAGUGAACACACACGGUGUGGGCGGGGUACGGUAAACACUGUGAGCGACCGCAAGUACUCCAGAGUACUUUGUAAGAGGCCUUCCCUGUGUAUCCUAUGUGCUUUAACUCUCUUGGCUUCUACAACAAUCCCACGAAGUGGGUUUUCUUUUUCUUACUUAUGGACAAGCUGAAGCUCAGAGAGGUUAAGCCAUAGGUUCAGGGUCCCACAGCUAGGAUAGGGUAGCAUUCCAACGGGGCCAGGUCUGACUGGGAAGCUUAUGCGUUAAAUACUCCGGGCGUUCUUCUUAUGCUGCGACACGGGGCAGCCUGUGUUAGUAACACACGACUGUUUCCAGGUUUGGAGCGGAGUGUGGGGCCGCACUCCAGGCAGAGGGGAAGAGCAGGGGAAGGUGUGGACGUGAAGCGGGUGGAGAAGUUCAGCAAGGCAGGGCGGGGUGGGAGGGGGUAGAGAAGGACUAAGACGAACUUAGAAUGACACACGAGACCACGCAGGCUGGUGUCUGACCGUGCUCAGGAAGGAAAGGAAAAGGCUCUCACCCGUUUGCCCAUUCUGGAGAGCACAUCACAACCAUCAGCCCUGGAAUGCAAAGACCAGAAUAAACCUGAGGAAACCUCCAAACGAGCC
This is a long non-coding RNA of Mustela erminea (ermine), 1180 nucleotides long. RefSeq lists it as uncharacterized. Lineage: Eukaryota; Metazoa; Chordata; Mammalia; Carnivora; Mustelidae. The record is from RefSeq and is a predicted model, not a curated record. The transcript is spliced from 3 exons.